Molecule: ribosomal RNA, 484 nt
Filed under: uncultured bacterium
Lineage: Bacteria
Description: partial 16S ribosomal RNA
Rfam family: Bacterial small subunit ribosomal RNA
Source: RNAcentral
AUUGAACGCCGGCGGCAGGCCUAACACAUGCAAGUCGAGCGGAUGAAGGGAGCUUGCUCCUGGAUUCAGCGGCGGACGGGUGAGUAAUGCCUAGGAAUCUGCCUGGUAGUGGGGGAUAACGUCCGGAAACGGGCGCUAAUACCGCAUACGUCCUGAGGGAGAAAGUGGGGGAUCUUCGGACCUCACGCUAUCAGAUGAGCCUAGGUCGGAUUAGCUAGUUGGUGGGGUAAAGGCCUACCAAGGCGACGAUCCGUAACUGGUCUGAGAGGAUGAUCAGUCACACGGGAACUGAGACACGGUCCAGACUCCUACGGGAGGCAGCAGUGGGGAAUAUUGGACAAUGGGCGAAAGCCUGAUCCAGCCAUGCCGCGUGUGUGAAGAAGGUCUUCGGAUUGUAAAGCACUUUAAGUUGGGAGGAAGGGCAGUAAGUUAAUACCUUGCUGUUUUGACGUUACCAACAGAAUAAGCACCGGCUAACUUCGUG